RNAcentral lists this ribosomal RNA (183 nucleotides) under Myotis sodalis (Indiana bat). RNAcentral describes it as "partial 16S ribosomal RNA". Lineage: Eukaryota; Metazoa; Chordata; Mammalia; Chiroptera; Vespertilionidae. The record is from RNAcentral.
AGAAGCAAUAAUGUUAAUAUGAGUAACAAGAAAAUUUUCUCCCUGCAUGAGUGUAUAUCAGAACGAAUGAUGCACUGGUAGUUAACAAAUACAGACAUAACUAGCUAACUAAAAUCUUAAUACAACUGUUAGUCCAACACAGGCAUGCACCCAGGAAGAUAAAAGAAGUAAAAGGAACUCGGC